RNAcentral lists this ribosomal RNA (497 nucleotides) under uncultured bacterium. RNAcentral's name for it is "partial 16S ribosomal RNA". It matches the Rfam family "Bacterial small subunit ribosomal RNA", at positions 28 to 507 of the family's 1533-position model. The record is from RNAcentral.
GAUGAACGCUGGCGGCGUGCUUAACACAUGCAAGUCGAGCGAACAGACCAUGAGCUUGCUGCUUUCACGUGUGCGGAACACGUGAGAGUAACACGAGUAUAACCCCCCUAUCAUACUGAUAUAUUUACGAGAAACCGGAUAUAAUACCAGAGAAUCUAUUGAAGCGCAGGGGUCAUUAGUAAGUGACGGCUGUGCGGUCUCUUAUCGAUGGUUCCGCGCCGGAUUAGCUGGUUGGUGAGGUAACGGCUUACCACGGCAACGAGGCGUAGGCGACGUGAGGGGGUGGUCGGCGACCCGGGAACGGAGACACGGUCCAGACUCCUACGGGACGCAGCAGUAGGGAAUGUGCCGCAGUGGGCGAGAGCCUGACGGAGCGACGGCGCGUGAGUGGUGAAGGUCCUCGGAUCGUAAUACUGUGUUUUUGGUGAAGAACAAAUGUGUCAGUAACUGUGGACUUAUUGACGGUACCUAGUCAAAAAGCCCCGGCUAACUACGUG